Molecule: RNA transcript, 2266 nt
Organism: Ostrea edulis (European flat oyster)
Lineage: Eukaryota; Metazoa; Mollusca; Bivalvia; Ostreida; Ostreidae
Gene name: myelin expression factor 2-like
Exons: 17
Source: RefSeq, a predicted model, not a curated record
UUUCUGUUAGGACAAUGGUCACGUGGUAGACGCCAUUUUUCAGCAAAGCGGAUCCUAAAUAAUUAUAAUAUAAUUGUUUGCCAUUUGUCUAGCAUCAUUUUAACAAUGUCUGAUCAGGAGCAGAAUAGCAUGGGAUGGGACAACAAUGAUAUGCAGCAAUAUGAUGAUGACUUGGAUGGUUUGGAAAAAUCAAGGCAUCGUGAAUCAACAUCUCGAUCACGAUCCCGGUCCCCAGUUCGACGCUCAAGGUCAAGAUCUCGAUCACAUGAAAGACACAGAGACCGAGCUCGACGAAUAAACCUCAUCUCAAAGAGAGUUAUUAUCAGCAAUGUUCCAUACGAAAUGAAGUGGCAGGACAUUAAAGACAUUUUCAGGAAAGAAGUUGGGGAGGUGCAGUAUGUAGAAAUGUUUGAAACCCCAGAUGGAAAAUCACGUGGAUCAGGAAUCAUUGAAUUCAAAGAUAAGGACACAGCCAGAAAGGCUAUAGAAACUAUGCACAGAUACAAGAUGAAGGACAGGAACAUCGUUGUCAGAGAGGAACGUGAGAGUGAUCAAAACCAGAACAUGGGAGGUGGUCGCGGAGGUGGAUCAGGAAUGAUGGGUGGUGGAGGCCUUGGAGGAGGAAUGGGAAUGAUGGGAAAUAUGGGAGGAGGUGGAGGCAUGCUGGGUAAUAUGGGAGGAGGCGGUCCUGGCGUUACUCCUCAGCUUCUGCAACAGCUUGGGGUUGAUGGGCCAGUCACCAACACCGUGUUUGUAUCAAAUAUUGAUUACAAAGUCACAUGGAAGAAAUUGAAAGAUGUAUUUAAAUUGGCUGGAAAUGUACAGAGAGUGGAAGUGAUGCAGUCGAAAGAUGGCAAAAGUCGAGGCAUGGCCACUGUGAGCUUCGACACUCAACUGGAGGCCCUCCAAGCUAUCUCUAUGUUCAACAACCAGACCUUAUAUGAUCGUCCAAUGAGGGUAAAAAUGGACAGCACUGCCGCCAAAAAACCAGAUAUACCAUUACCAGCUGGUUUGAAAUCAAUUGGCAUGGGGCUUGGUUUAGGAGGUAUUCCAUUACAGAAUAAUCAAGGAUCAGGAAUGGGCAUGGGCAACCUCGGAGGAGGAGGGGGAGGGGGAGGAGGUGGUGGAGGAGGAGGAGGAAUGGGCUCGGGCAUGUCCUCUAUUGGCAUUGGCAACAUGGAUGGUGGGAUGGGCAUGGGGUCUUCCCUAGGUGGUGGAACAGUGGGUUCAAUGGGUGGAAAUUUGUCAGGCCUUGGGCUGGGAGGGGGAAACAUGGGAGGUGGAUCCAAUGUUGGUUUGGGUGGAAUGGGCAAUACAAGUCUGUCAGGAAUGGGGCUGUCAGGAGGGCUUAAUGACUACAACUCUGGAAUGGGCACUACAGGGCUAGGCAACAAUUUUGGGAACGCCUUGGGCGGAAUGGGUGACAAUCGCAUGGGCCUGAGUGGCCUCAGCAGUAACAGCUUGAGUGGGAACAGCUUCAGCAGCAACAUGAUGGACAAUCUGGGCAGUGGGCUAGGUCUGGGCAGUAGCAAUUCUAACUAUGGAGGGAGUGGACUAUCAUCCUCUUACUCUGACCGUGGAGGCAGCAGCAGAGGCAGGGACAGUCGGGAUAAUGACCGCUCCACCCGCCCAGACAACUGCACUGUCUGUGUCAGAAAUCUUCCAUACUCUUUGAAAUGGCAGGAUCUGAAAGAAAAGUUCAAGUCCGUCGCUGAUGUCAGGUUCGCAGAAAUCAAAACAGAGAAUGGAAGAUCUGCAGGAUGGGGCUUGGUCAGAUUUGGAAAUCCGGAUGAUGCCCAGAGAGCAAUUUCUCUGAUGAACAGGUCCCGUAUUGAUGGCCGAGAAGUGGAUGUCAAAAUGUACCGUUGAUCACAAAUGAUUCAGCCUGUGGAUGUUACUUUUAAAGUAGGACUGUUGAGCAAACAUACCUUCUGAUGCGGAGAAGAGCAGUCUUCUGUAAGGAUGUGCUGACCAGCCUUGACAGAAGUGCUGAUAUUUCUCUCUGGGCAGAUCUGAACAGUCAGCAUUUGCAAAACUACUCUAACCAAAACCUUAUCUGUUUUCGCCUCCAAAGGAUCGUAGCAAAGGGGAGCCUCCAAAGGAUCGUAGCAAAGGGGAGCCUCCAAAGGAUCGUAGCAAAGGGGAGCCUCCAAAGGAUCCUAGCAAAGAGGGUUUUAUAGGUCCUUUUAAUGAGGAAUGGUGAUGCAGUGAUAAUACACUGGAUUUUUGUGGAAUGUGGACACUUGAAUAAAAUGAUUUUAAUGCA